AACGAACGCUGGCGGCAUGCCUAACACAUGCAAGUCGAACGAGCCCUUCGGGUCUAGUGGCGCACGGGUGCGUAACGCGUGGGAACCUGCCCUUAGGUUCGGAAUAACUCCCCGAAAGGGGUGCUAAUACCGGAUAAUGUCUUCGGACCAAAGAUUUAUCGCCUUUGGAUGGGCCCGCGUUGGAUUAGCUAGUUGGUAGGGUAAAUGCCUACCAAGGCGACGAUCCAUAGCUGGUCUGAGAGGAUGAUCAGCCACACUGGGACUGAGACACGGCCCAGACUCCUACGGGAGGCAGCAGUGGGGAAUAUUGGACAAUGGGCGAAAGCCUGACGCAGCAAUGCCGCGUGAGUGAUGAAGGCCUUAGGGUUGUAAAACUCUUUUACCCGGGAUGAUAAUGACAGUACCGGGAGAAUAAGCCCCGGCUAACUCCGUG
Molecule: ribosomal RNA, 433 nt
Filed under: uncultured bacterium
Lineage: Bacteria
Description: partial 16S ribosomal RNA
Rfam family: Bacterial small subunit ribosomal RNA
Source: RNAcentral